Molecule: ribosomal RNA, 744 nt
Filed under: Vibrio cholerae O1
Lineage: Bacteria; Pseudomonadati; Pseudomonadota; Gammaproteobacteria; Vibrionales; Vibrionaceae
Description: bacterial SSU rRNA
Rfam family: Bacterial small subunit ribosomal RNA
Source: RNAcentral
CUGGCGGCAGGCCUAACACAUGCAAGUCGAACGGUAGCACAGAGGAGCUUGCUCCUUGGGUGACGAGUGGCGGACGGGUGAGUAAUGUCUGGGAAACUGCCCGAUGGAGGGGGAUAACUACUGGAAACGGUAGCUAAUACCGCAUAACGUCGCAAGACCAAAGAGGGGGACCUUCGGGCCUCUUGCCAUCGGAUGUGCCCAGAUGGGAUUAGCUAGUAGGUGGGGUAACGGCUCACCUAGGCGACGAUCCCUAGCUGGUCUGAGAGGAUGACCAGCCACACUGGAACUGAGACACGGUCCAGACUCCUACGGGAGGCAGCAGUGGGGAAUAUUGCACAAUGGGCGCAAGCCUGAUGCAGCCAUGCCGCGUGUAUGAAGAAGGCCUUCGGGUUGUAAAGUACUUUCAGCGAGGAGGAAGGUGUUGUGGUUAAUAACCGCAGCAAUUGACGUUACUCGCAGAAGAAGCACCGGCUAACUCCGUGCCAGCAGCCGCGGUAAUACGGAGGGUGCAAGCGUUAAUCGGAAUUACUGGGCGUAAAGCGCACGCAGGCGGUCUGUCAAGUCGGAUGUGAAAUCCCCGGGCUCAACCUGGGAACUGCAUCCGAAACUGGCAGGCUAGAGUCUUGUAGAGGGGGGUAGAAUUCCAGGUGUAGCGGUGAAAUGCGUAGAGAUCUGGAGGAAUACCGGUGGCGAAGGCGGCCCCCUGGACAAAGACUGACGCUCCAGGUGCGAAAGCGUGGCGAG